UAACCAGUGCAAACCUUACUUUAAAGCCAAGU
This 32-nucleotide non-coding RNA is filed under the name Mus musculus (house mouse). Lineage: Eukaryota; Metazoa; Chordata; Mammalia; Rodentia; Muridae. The record is from RNAcentral.